RNAcentral lists this ribosomal RNA (465 nucleotides) under Vreelandella stevensii. Its description in RNAcentral is "partial 16S ribosomal RNA". It matches the Rfam family "Bacterial small subunit ribosomal RNA", at positions 338 to 795 of the family's 1533-position model. Lineage: Bacteria; Pseudomonadati; Pseudomonadota; Gammaproteobacteria; Oceanospirillales; Halomonadaceae. The record is from RNAcentral.
CCUACGGGUGGCAGCAGUGGGGAAUAUUGGACAAUGGGCGAAAGCCUGAUCCAGCCAUGCCGCGUGUGUGAAGAAGGCCUUCGGGUUGUAAAGCACUUUCAGUGGGGAAGAAAGCCUUGGGGCCAAUACCCUCGAGGAAGGACAUCACCCACAGAAGAAGCACCGGCUAACUCCGUGCCAGCAGCCGCGGUAAUACGGAGGGUGCGAGCGUUAAUCGGAAUUACUGGGCGUAAAGCGCGCGUAGGCGGUCUGAUAAGCCGGUUGUGAAAGCCCCGGGCUCAACCUGGGAACGGCAUCCGGAACUGUCAGGCUAGAGUGCAGGAGAGGAAGGUAGAAUUCCCGGUGUAGCGGUGAAAUGCGUAGAGAUCGGGAGGAAUACCAGUGGCGAAGGCGGCCUUCUGGACUGACACUGACGCUGAGGUGCGAAAGCGUGGGUAGCAAACAGGAUUAGAUACCCCAGUAGUC